UUUUUUGGAGGGCAAAGUCUGGUGCCAGCAGCCGCGGUAAUUCCAGCUCCAAUAGCGUAUAUUAAAGUUGUUGCAGUUAAAAAGCUCGUAGUUGAAUUUCGGGAUCAGUUCGCUGGUCGUGCCUCUGGUAUGUACUGGUGUUACUGGUUCCUCCCUUCUGAAGAACUGUCAUGUCAUUAAUUUGGUGUGGCGGGGAAUCAGGACUGUUACUUUGAAAAAAUUAGAGUGUUUAAAGCAGGCUCGCGCUUGAAUACAUUAGCAUGGAAUAAUGAAAUAGGACGUUUGAUCCUAUUUUGUUGGUUUCUAGGAUUGACGUAAUGAUUAAUAGGGAUAGUUGGGGGCAUUAGUAUUCAAUUGUCAGAGGUGAAAUUCUUGGAUUUAUUGAAGACUAACUACUGCGAAAGCAUUUGCCAAGGAUGUUUUCAUUAAUCAAGAACGAAAGUUAGGGGAUCGAAGACGAUCAGAUACCGUCGUAGUCUUAACCAUAAACUAUGCCGACUAGGGAUCGGAUGAUGUUAAUUUUUUAAUGACUCAUUCGGCGCCNUUACGGGAAAACAAA
This 559-nucleotide ribosomal RNA is filed under the name uncultured Glomus. RNAcentral describes it as "SSU rRNA". It matches the Rfam family "Eukaryotic small subunit ribosomal RNA", at positions 539 to 1102 of the family's 1831-position model. Lineage: Eukaryota; Fungi; Glomeromycota; Glomeromycetes; Glomerales; Glomeraceae. The record is from RNAcentral.